UACGGAGGGUGCAAGCGUUAUCCGGAUUCACUGGGUUUAAAGGGAGCGCAGGCGGGCUUGUAGGUCAGUGGUGAAAUACCCGUGCUUAACAUGGGAACUGCCAUUGAUACUAUAGGUCUUGAAUAUCGUUGAGGUUUGCGGAAUGGGUCAUGUAGCGGUGAAAUGCAUAGAUAUGACCCGGAACACCUAUUGCGAAGGCAGCAGGCUAAGCGAAGAUUGACGCUGAGGCUCGAAAGCGUGGGGAUCAAACAGG
This 253-nucleotide ribosomal RNA is filed under the name uncultured bacterium. RNAcentral's name for it is "partial 16S ribosomal RNA". It matches the Rfam family "Bacterial small subunit ribosomal RNA", at positions 524 to 776 of the family's 1533-position model. The record is from RNAcentral.